CUCCAGAGAUGAACUUGCUCCUUGGGUGGCGAGUGGCGGACGGGUGAGGAAUACAUCGGAAUCUACUUUUUCGUGGGGGAUAACGUAGGGAAACUUACGCUAAUACCGCAUACGACCUACGGGUGAAAGCAGGGGACCUUCGGGCCUUGCGCGAUUGAAUGAGCCGAUGUCGGAUUAGCUAGUUGGCGGGGUAAAGGCCCACCAAGGCGACGAUCCGUAGCUGGUCUGAGAGGAUGAUCAGCCACACUGGAACUGAGACACGGUCCAGACUCCUACGGGAGGCAGCAGUGGGGAAUAUUGGACAAUGGGCGCAAGCCUGAUCCAGCCAUACCGCGUGGGUGAAGAAGGCCUUCGGGUUGUAAAGCCCUUUUGUUGGGAAAGAAAUCCAGCUGGCUAAUACCCGGUUGGGAUGACGGUACCCAAAGAAUAAGCACCGGCUAACUUCGUGCCAGCAGCCGCGGUAAUACGAAGGGUGCAAGCGUUACUCGGAAUUACUGGGCGUAAAGCGUGCGUAGGUGGUCGUUUAAGUCCGUUGUGAAAGCCCUGGGCUCAACCUGGGAACUGCAGUGGAUACUGGGCGACUAGAGUGUGGUAGAGGGUAGCGGAAUUCCUGGUGUAGCAGUGAAAUGCGUAGAGAUCAGGAGGAACAUCCAUGGCGAAGGCAGCUACCUGGACCAACACUGACACUGAGGCACGAAAGCGUGGGGAGCAGACAGGAUUAGAUACCCUGGUAGUCCACGCCCUAAACGAUGCGAACUGGAUGUUGGGUGCAAUUUGGCACGCAGUAUCGAAGCUAACGCGUUAAGUUCGCCGCCUGGGGAGUACGGUCGCAAGACUGAAACUCAAAGGAAUUGACGGGGGCCCGCACAAGCGGUGGAGUAUGUGGUUUAAUUCGAUGCAACGCGAAGAACCUUACCUGGCCUUGACAUGUCGAGAACUUUCCAGAGAUGGAUUGUGCCUUCGGGAACUCAACA
RNAcentral lists this ribosomal RNA (974 nucleotides) under uncultured Stenotrophomonas sp. RNAcentral's name for it is "bacterial SSU rRNA". It matches the Rfam family "Bacterial small subunit ribosomal RNA", at positions 67 to 1034 of the family's 1533-position model. Lineage: Bacteria; Pseudomonadati; Pseudomonadota; Gammaproteobacteria; Lysobacterales; Lysobacteraceae. The record is from RNAcentral.